GUUCUCACUUCGGCAGCACAUAUACUAAAAUAGGAAUGACACAGAGAAGAUUAGCACGGCCCCUGUGUGAGGAUAACACGCAAAUUCCUGAGCAUUCCAUAUUUUU
Molecule: small nuclear RNA, 106 nt
Organism: Lynx canadensis (Canada lynx)
Lineage: Eukaryota; Metazoa; Chordata; Mammalia; Carnivora; Felidae
Source: Ensembl